RNAcentral lists this ribosomal RNA (253 nucleotides) under uncultured bacterium. RNAcentral's name for it is "partial 16S ribosomal RNA". It matches the Rfam family "Bacterial small subunit ribosomal RNA", at positions 524 to 776 of the family's 1533-position model. The record is from RNAcentral.
GACGGAGGAUGCAAGUGUUAUCCGGAAUCACUGGGCGUAAAGCGUCUGUAGGUGGUUUAAUAAGUCAACUGUUAAAUCUUGAGGCUCAACCUCAAAAUCGCAGUCGAAACUAUUAGGUUAGAGUAUAGUAGGGGUAAAGGGAAUUUCCAGUGGAGCGGUGAAAUGCGUAGAGAUUGGAAAGAACACCGAUGGCGAAGGCACUUUACUGGGCUAUUACUAACACUCAGAGACGAAAGCUAGGGUAGCAAAUGGG